Molecule: long non-coding RNA, 643 nt
Organism: Phymastichus coffea
Lineage: Eukaryota; Metazoa; Arthropoda; Insecta; Hymenoptera; Eulophidae
Exons: 4
Source: RefSeq, a predicted model, not a curated record
UAUAUUAAAUAAAAGAAAAUUAUGAUCGAAAUAAUAAACGAAUGAAAAUGAUAAACGAAUAAUCAAUAUUCUUUUAACAGAAUAUUUAUUCGGAGUAAUUUUGAAUAAUAUAUAGUCAGCACGUGGAUAUCUGCAUCAGCUGCAUGCUUUAGGGUGACACAUGGACAAGAUGAACCUGUUCCAAAAAAGUGUGAUUUUGAAGUUAUAAUUGCAUCACAUACCAUAAAUUACACCGUUUACGGGUCAAUAUUUUACAGUCAACAAUUAAUAACUCACACGCAUGGGUAGAAGUUAUACUUAAUUGUUUUAAUGGAUCGCAGAGAAACCAUGAAUAGUAUUGGUGAUACUUGCAGUGAACUCAAGAAUCAAUAUGACCACUGUUUUAAUACGUGGUUUUCUGAAAAAUUCCUGAAAGGUUUAUUGUUAAUUAAACUCAUAAAUUGCUAUGGAACCAUGUAAAGAUUUGAAGCAAAAAUAUGAUGACUGCUUUAAUAGUUGGUUUGCGGAAAAAUUUCUUAAAGGAAGCAAAAACGACAAACAAUGUGCUUCUUUGCUGGAGGUAUAUAAAACAUGUGUUCAGAAAGCCAUGAAAGACCAACAAAUUGAACUGCAUGAUGUUCAAGCAAGUCAUCUGGGGACUGAU